GGGUUGUGAGGUUAAGCGACUAAGCGUACACGGUGGAUGCCCAGGCAGUCAGAGGCGAUGAAGGACGUGCUAAUCUGCGUAAAGCGACGGUAAGGUGAUAUGAACCGCUACAGCCGUCGAUGUCCGAAUGGGGAAACCCGGUGCACUCUGUGCAUCAUUGCAGCAUGAAUACAUAGUGCUGCAAGGCGAACCGGGGGAACUGAAACAUCUAAGUACCCCGAGGAAAAGAAAUCAACCGAGAUUCCCCCAGUAGCGGCGAGCGAACGGGGAGCAGCCCAGAGCCUGAAUCAGCUUGUGUGUUAGUGGAAGCGUCUGGAAAGUCGCAGGGUACAGGGUGAUACUCCCGUACACAAAAACACACAUGCUGUGAGCUCGAUGAGUAAGGCGGGACACGUGGUAUCCUGUCUGAAUAUGGGGGGACCAUCCUCCAAGGCUAAAUACUCCUGACUGACCGAUAGUGAACCAGUACCGUGAGGGAAAGGCGAAAAGAACCCCGGCGAGGGGAGUGAAACAGAACCUGAAACCGUGUACGUACAAGCAGUGGGAGCCUUCUUUAUGGGGGUGACUGCGUACCUUUUGUAUAAUGGGUCAGCGACUUAUAUUCUGUAGCAAGGUUAACCGUAUAGGGGAGCCGCAGGGAAACCGAGUCUUAACUGGGCGUUAAGUUGCAGGGUAUAGACCCGAAACCCGGUGAUCUAGCCAUGGGCAGGUUGAAGGUUGGGUAACACUAACUGGAGGACCGAACCGACUAAUGUUGAAAAAUUAGCGGAUGACCUGUGGCUGGGGGUGAAAGGCCAAUCAAACCGGGAGAUAGCUGGUUCUCCCCGAAAGCUAUUUAGGUAGCGCCUCGUGAACUCAUCUUCGGGGGUAGAGCACUGUUUCGGCUAGGGGGCCAUCCCGGCUUACCAACCCGAUGCAAACUGCGAAUACCGAAGAAUGUUAUCACGGGAGACACACGGCGGGUGCUAACGUCCGUCGUGAAGAGGGAAACAACCCAGACCGCCAGCUAAGGUCCCAAAGUCAUGGUUAAGUGGGAAACGAUGUGGGAAGGCACAGACAGCCAGGAUGUUGGCUUAGAAGCAGCCAUCAUUUAAAGAAAGCGUAAUAGCUCACUGGUCGAGUCGGCCUGCGCGGAAGAUGUAACGGGGCUAAACCAUGCACCGAAGCUGCGGCAGCGAC
Molecule: ribosomal RNA, 1179 nt
Filed under: Pantoea agglomerans
Lineage: Bacteria; Pseudomonadati; Pseudomonadota; Gammaproteobacteria; Enterobacterales; Erwiniaceae
Description: partial 23S ribosomal RNA
Rfam family: Bacterial large subunit ribosomal RNA
Source: RNAcentral